CAGCCUGUCCCUUUUGUGUUAGUUUAAGGCACAGUACCUUAAACUAACACUAGAGGGCAGGCUGUUUAAGUAUCUAACACUUCUUGAAC
Sinocyclocheilus rhinocerous is the source of this 89-nucleotide long non-coding RNA. RefSeq lists it as uncharacterized. The transcript has 3 exons. The record is from RefSeq and is a predicted model, not a curated record. Lineage: Eukaryota; Metazoa; Chordata; Actinopteri; Cypriniformes; Cyprinidae.